UCGUCCUGCUCGUGAUCGUCUUCUCAACCUUCACUUGCGGGCGGAAGAAACGGACGGCCCCCGCGAGGACGUGACUCGCGGGGGCCGUCC
RNAcentral lists this non-coding RNA (90 nucleotides) under Streptomyces sp. ERV7. RNAcentral's name for it is "sodF sRNA". It matches the Rfam family "sodF sRNA". From Rfam's summary of the family: Identified in Streptomyces coelicolor. It is produced from sodF mRNA by cleavage of about 90 nucleotides from its 3'UTR. However, it does not affect the function of sodF mRNA, but acts on another mRNA called sodN. s-SodF RNA has a sequence complimentary to sodN mRNA from the 5'-end up to the ribosome binding site. Lineage: Bacteria; Bacillati; Actinomycetota; Actinomycetes; Kitasatosporales; Streptomycetaceae. The record is from Rfam by way of RNAcentral.